RNAcentral lists this ribosomal RNA (492 nucleotides) under uncultured bacterium. RNAcentral's name for it is "partial 16S ribosomal RNA". It matches the Rfam family "Bacterial small subunit ribosomal RNA", at positions 29 to 507 of the family's 1533-position model. The record is from RNAcentral.
AGUGAACGCUGGCGGUAGGCCUAACACAUGCAAGUCGAACGGCAGCACAGUAAGAGCUUGCUCUUACGGGUGGCGAGUGGCGGACGGGUGAGGAAUACAUCGGAAUCUACUUUUUCGUGGGGGAUAACGUAGGGAAACUUACGCUAAUACCGCAUACGACCUACGGGUGAAAGCAGGGGAUCUUCGGACCUUGCGCGAAUGAAUGAGCCGAUGUCGGAUUAGCUAGUUGGCGGGGUAAAGGCCCACCAAGGCGACGAUCCGUAGCUGGUCUGAGAGGAUGAUCAGCCACACUGGAACUGAGACACGGUCCAUACUCCUACGGGAGGCAGCAGUGGGGAAUAUUGGACAAUGGGCGCAAGCCUGAUCCAGCCAUACCGCGUGGGUGAAGAAGGCCUUCGGGUUGUAAAGCCCUUUUGUUGGGAAAGAAAAGCAGCAGGUUAAUACCCCGCUGUUCUGACGGUACCCAAAGAAUAAGCACCGGCUAACUUCGUG